UCCUACGGGAGGCAGCAGUGGGGAAUCUUGCGCAAUGGGCGAAAGCCUGACGCAGCGACGCCGCGUGGGGGAUGAAGGCCUUCGGGUUGUAAACCCCUUUCGGCGGGGACGAAGCGAAAGUGACGGUACCCGCAGAAGAAGUCCCGGCUAACUACGUGCCAGCAGCCGCGGUA
Molecule: ribosomal RNA, 173 nt
Filed under: uncultured Acidothermus sp.
Lineage: Bacteria; Bacillati; Actinomycetota; Actinomycetes; Acidothermales; Acidothermaceae
Description: partial 16S ribosomal RNA
Rfam family: Bacterial small subunit ribosomal RNA
Source: RNAcentral